Molecule: unclassified non-coding RNA, 232 nt
Filed under: plant metagenome
Description: partial contains small subunit ribosomal RNA, internal transcribed spacer 1, and 5.8S ribosomal RNA
Source: RNAcentral
UUUCCGUAGGUGAACCUGCGGAAGGAUCAUUAUUGGAUUUUGAAACUUCAGGCUGCUGCUGGCUCUCCUCGGAGGGCAUGUGCACGCUUGUUGUCCAUUAUUUCUCCCACUGUGCACAAAUUGUAGACCUUUCAGUAGGCCUAUGUUGUUUUUCACAAUCUCUGAAUGUAAUAGAAUGGUUUUGAAUCUUGGGAAAUACAAUACAACUUUCAGCAACGGAUCUCUUGGCUCU